Contarinia nasturtii (swede midge) is the source of this 551-nucleotide long non-coding RNA. RefSeq lists it as uncharacterized. The transcript is spliced from 2 exons. The record is from RefSeq and is a predicted model, not a curated record. NCBI's taxonomy places the organism in Eukaryota, Metazoa, Arthropoda, Insecta, Diptera, Cecidomyiidae.
UAACAACCGAUUCGACGAACAAUACACUUUAUUUUCAGCGGAAAAUGAUUUCAAGUACAAUAACCGCGGCAAAAGUGAUUGUGUCAGAUGACAAAAUUUUAUAUUAUUGAUAUUGCAUUCUGACCUUCGCUAUUUAUUUCACACUCAAUGAAUAUGUUCAUAAAUAAUGAUACGAUGAUCAACGGAUGAAAAGGCUUUUAUCACUAUUUAACGAAUGAAAACACUUAUCACCAUAUUUAAUUGUAAAUCAAACUAGAAUCGUAUCGGAGAAGAAAUUAUGCAACAAAUUCAAUGUGUCAUUAACAAUUGAGAACAGACGAUUGUUUAUUUUAUUUUUUCGAAAUAAAUGUGCGUAUGUAAAACAGAUUUUUUUUCACCAGAUAAUUAGAGUGACAAGUAAGGCUAAUGAACCACGAUGAAUCCAUAGUAAUGUUUGGAUACGUGUGUACGUAAACAGUGGACAACACUGAAAAUACGAAGAAUGUUCAAAGACAAGACUGCAUUAACUAAGGUUGUUCUGUAUUUUAUUAAAUAUGUGCCGCAAAUUGUAA